Molecule: long non-coding RNA, 386 nt
Filed under: Zonotrichia albicollis (white-throated sparrow)
Lineage: Eukaryota; Metazoa; Chordata; Aves; Passeriformes; Passerellidae
Description: lncRNA (ENSZALG00000013797.1)
Source: RNAcentral
GGUCUGUAGGAGGUAAUGAUCAAAUACUAUGAUGAUGAAGAUGCUCUAAAAAUAUACAGAAUCUAAUCUAGUUUAGAUUUGACUGAAAUAAACAUGGACAAGGAUAUGUUGGGAGAUGAUCCUUUUACUUGGAACUUUCACCUUAGUGUGGGACUGUGCAGAUUGAUCUGGAGGAUUUCUAUUUUGGAUGCCAUUAAGCUGUCUAAUAUUUGUUCAUGGUGCAGCAUGUAAUAAUCAUUCAUUUACGAGCUGGAGCACACCAGGAGGAAUUUAUUCUGUUGCCACAGUAGAUGUUAAAGCACACAGAGUUAAGCUCCCACGUUUCUCCCGGAGCGCACCGGGCAGCGGAGCCGCUCGGCGAUGGCACCCAGGCGAUGCUGCCCCUG